This 157-nucleotide ribosomal RNA is filed under the name uncultured bacterium. RNAcentral's name for it is "partial 16S ribosomal RNA". It matches the Rfam family "Bacterial small subunit ribosomal RNA", at positions 377 to 526 of the family's 1533-position model. The record is from RNAcentral.
CGAAGCCUGAUCCAGCAAUGCCGCGUGAGUGAAGAAGGCCUUCGGGUUGUAAAGCUCUUUUGUCAGGGAAGAAACGGUGCGGGCUAAUAUCCUGCACUAAUGACGGUACCUGAACAAUAACCACCGGCUAACUACGUGCCAGCAGCCGCGGUAAUAA